RNAcentral lists this ribosomal RNA (560 nucleotides) under uncultured Amanita. RNAcentral's name for it is "eukaryotic LSU rRNA". The stretch from base 158 to 311 matches the Rfam family "5.8S ribosomal RNA". The record is from RNAcentral. Lineage: Eukaryota; Fungi; Basidiomycota; Agaricomycetes; Agaricales; Amanitaceae.
CUCUUUGUAGACACUCGGGAUGGGAGAGAGGUUGGCAUUGAUGGUUAACCUCUCUUGAUAUUGAAAAGUCUGGGUGUUUAUGUAUUUUUUGACAUACACGGUUGAAUGUCUAUAGAAUGAAAUGUAGGCUUUUGUCAGCCUUUAAAUGAUAAAAUACAACUUUCAACAACGGAUCUCUUGGCUCUCGCAUCGAUGAAGAACGCAGCGAAAUGCGAUAAGUAAUGUGAAUUGCAGAAUUCAGUGAAUCAUCGAAUCUUUGAACGCAUCUUGCGCUCCUUGGUAUUCCGAGGAGCAUGCCUGUUUGAGUGUCAUUAAAUAUCUCAAAAAGUUUGUGCUUUUUUGGCAUAAGAUUUUUUGGACAUUGGGAGUUGCCGGCUGCUGAUAAAGUGGUGGGCUCUUCUGAAAAGCAUUAGUUGAGGAGCUUUGCACUCUAUUGGUGUGAUAGACUAUCUAUGCCAGGAGAUGCUUCAUGAUCCUCUGCCAUCUAACUGUCUUUAUUAGACAACAUGAUAAACUUGACCCCAAAUCAGGUAGGACUACCCGCUGAACUUACCCCUAUC